Molecule: ribosomal RNA, 487 nt
Filed under: uncultured bacterium
Lineage: Bacteria
Description: partial 16S ribosomal RNA
Rfam family: Bacterial small subunit ribosomal RNA
Source: RNAcentral
UGGGGAAUUUUGGACAAUGGGCUAAAGCCUGAUCCAGCAAUGCCGCGUGUGUGAAGAAGGCCUUCGGGUUGUAAAGCACUUUUUGUCCGGAAAGAAAUCCUUGGCUCUAAUACAGUCGGGGGAUGACGGUACCGGAAGAAUAAGCACCGGCUAACUACGUGCCAGCAGCCGCGGUAAUACGUAGGGUGCAAGCGUUAAUCGGAAUUACUGGGCGUAAAGCGUGCGCAGGCGGUUUGCUAAGACCGAUGUGAAAUCCCCGGGCUCAACCUGGGAACUGCAUUGGUGACUGGCAGGCUAGAGUAUGGCAGAGGGGGGUAGAAUUCCACGUGUAGCAGUGAAAAUGCGUAGAGAUGUGGAGGAAUACCGAUGGCGAAGGCAGCCCCCUGGGGCCAAAUACUGACGCUCAUGCACGAAAAGCGUGGGGGAGCAAAACAGGAUUAGAUACCCCUGGUAGUCCACGCCCCUAAAACGAUGUCAACUAGUUGUU